RNAcentral lists this ribosomal RNA (326 nucleotides) under uncultured eukaryote. RNAcentral's name for it is "partial 18S ribosomal RNA". It matches the Rfam family "Eukaryotic small subunit ribosomal RNA", at positions 1470 to 1796 of the family's 1831-position model. The record is from RNAcentral.
CCCUUAGAUGUUCUGGGCCGCACGCGCGCUACACUGAUGCAUUCAACAAGUUCUACCUUGGCCGAGAGGCCUGGGAAAUCUUUCAAAUAUGUAUCGUGAUAGGGAUAGAUUAUUGCAAUUAUUAAUCUUGAACGAGGAAUUCCUAGUAAGCGCAAGUCAACAGCUUGCGUUGAUUACGUCCCUGCCCUUUGUACACACCGCCCGUCGCUACUACUGAUUGGAUGUUUAAGCGAGGUUCUCGAACUGCUAGCGACUUAGCUUCGGUGAGGUCGCAGUGUGGGAAGUGAACCUAGCUUUGGUGUCUAGAGGAAGUAAAAGUCGUAACA